Long non-coding RNA from Gasterosteus aculeatus aculeatus (three-spined stickleback), 3243 nucleotides. NCBI's taxonomy places the organism in Eukaryota, Metazoa, Chordata, Actinopteri, Perciformes, Gasterosteidae. The record is from Ensembl.
UUGGUUGGACGUGUAGGAAGGGUGAGGAGACCCUUCACCCGCCCCGGGGGCCAGGAACUCUGGGUGAGGAGGAAGAGAAGCCUAACACACUCUCAGAUUUCUAAAGUGCGUUUGUGAUACAGGAUGUGACAAACGCAAGUCAGUAGUUAAAGCACAUUGCAGCAAGAGCUAGAAACAUCCCAGUGAUGGCGGUGCUUCUCCAAGAGAAAGUGUUUUUUCUGCAGGAAAGACAAUAUUGAAUCUCCCGCUGUAUAUUUGCUAGCGGGGUUCACUAAGAAAUACUCUGAGAAGCACUUGUUUGAGAAGUGAAAUAGUGGGUUUACUUUCAUAGCUUCUCUAAGUUGAGAUUUUGGAAACAUUUAUGCACACACACACACACACACACACACACACACACACACACACACACACACACACACACUAAACACACACUCAUCUUUCUUUACGUGUUGGUCAGCAUCGAAAAAACAUCACAUCACUUUGCGUAAAAGUCAUGAUGUUGCAAAGUGAUCUCCAAAACCUGUUCGUAAAAAUGUAUACGACAUAUUUGACAUAGAAAUUCGUAACAAUACAUACGAACUGGCGGUGGUUAACCACGCCCCUUGAGUGAACGUCUCUCCGCCGUGUUGGAUUUUUUGAGGGGGUUAGGGUUAGUAUUCUAUUCUUACAAUUUACCAUUGAUUUCUCGUUAAAAAUGCAAUCAUAACACGUUUAUUUUACAUCGUGAGACUUCACGAAGUGUGUUUACGGGGUGCAAGUCCCCAUUCACUUUGAAUAGGGUGACGUCAUCAGUUGCAGUCCGUAUUUAUUUAGUAUCACUACGAAUUUGUAUCUUCAAGAUUUUCAUAUACAUUUUUACGAACAGGUUUUGGAGUUCAGGCUGGAUGUUGAUUUUACUAUGUUGUGCCCGGUGAACAUAAUCUAGGUCUUGUUCCACCCACUUACUCAAUUGCUAUGUCAUCAUCCCAUAUCAUUUUGAUAAAUGAUAAAUAUUCCCUAUAUUUGCAUCACCUUAAAAAAUGUUGCAGCUUCAAUGUGGAUGUCACCGAUGCUUUGUCAAAGCCUUAUGGUUCCCAUAAUGCUCCAGCAGUACAAAACAUUUACAUUAUGGACAACUAUGUUCAAACCACUGUGGACAGUGAUGGCACAUGUUCCAUGUCUCCUUAGAACCCCGGAGGUGUGUUUACAAUGUGUCUGAUGUCUCACUGCAUGUGGAUUUUUUCCCAAGUCACACUUUUAGUGAUGUCAGAACAUUCCCUACUUUCAGAAAUCACUUUAUGGAUAAGAGCGGAUGAAAUUGAUUGUUUAGAAGAACAGCGUUUUUCCUUAAAAAACAGGAUGCUUUGCAUGCAAGUUAGCUCCCACUACACAGGAAUGAUGCAUGUAAAAAAUCCACACACCGCAAAUAGAAGUGACACUACUAUCCGUACUACUACCACCACCAGUUCAGUACGCAAGAAGUACCAAAUCCGUCUCCUUUCUCCUCUCUCCGGCUCUGAUUUCUCUCCUUCCCUUCUGAAAAAAAGGUCUCAUUGUGGCGAUGUCAGCUGUCUCAAGGGCAUCCAGAACAAAGACGCUUUUCACCCCUCUGCAUAUCCUCCUCUCAUCCUUCACUCUCUCAUUCCGACUCCCCAUAUCAUGAAAAUCCUCUGGUUUGUUUUUUUCCCUGUCCUUUUUCCUUUUCUAACUCUUUGUUUUGGCAUUCUCAUGCGGGCCGUGGCAGGUUGAAGUAAAUGAGACGAGGACGGCGACACUGCUGGAAUAUUAAAAAGAAAAGAGCCGUAGCAGAGUUCCUUAAUUUUGCAUGCAGCAUAUCAGAGAUUACUCUGCUGUUGUGUGUGUGCUAUUACGUCCUGUAUGUAUCUGGCAGAGUAUGGAGGCAGGAGGAGAGGGACGUGCAAAGGCAGCAGCAGCUGGUGGAGAUACACAAUGUGGAGAGAGAGAGAGAGAGAGAGAGAGAGAGAGAGAGAGAGAGAGAGAGAGAGGACAACAGAGGAUGCCUCCUUGGCCAACUGUGUGGAAGGGGGACAGUGGAGCAUAACAAACAGGAUCCACCUUUCUGCUUGGCUAAUUUUCCCCAUUAAAACAGCCCAGCAGGAGCCUCAGCAGUCCACCAGCUGGAACAGAGGUUAUUUUAGUGCCUGUCUUUCAACGGGGGGGUUUGGUGGGGGGUCGCUUCUUGCAUCUAUUUUGGCGUGCAGGGCUGAGGUUCGGGAGGCAUGAAGAUCUUCCAUAGGAGCGGAUUCAAUUCACUGAUAUUAAUUUCCUCCUCUCCUGUCAUGCAUAAACAAAAGGAAAUCUCGGCGUCUGUCUGCAUCAUGCGUCUUCGCCCUGCUGCGCGCCGCUAUAAUGUCCUCGCCGCUGAUAUUGAUGUAUGUGCCCAUAUUUGCUCAGUCAUCUCUUUAUGUGGCAAGCCCUCCUCUCCUCUGUCUCAGUCAGAUCCUAAACUAAUCCCCAACCCUGCUACUCUGACAAGAAAAUCCCCUAUUUUAAUGCAUGCACACACACAACCCAAUCACGCACACACACUUUUCUCUUCCUUCUUUGUACCUGGAAACAGCAGCUUUUCAGUCUUUUUACUUUUUAGCAAGGCCUGCCUUGCCCGCAAGUUACCAUUUGUUAUGAAAUCUUCACAGCGUGGUGACGUUUGUGGAAACACAUAAUGUGAUAAAAUGUUUUCUUUUUGUUCACACUAGGCAGACUUUGGCAGCACGGUGUCAUUUUGUUACCGGCUGUUAGGAAAUGUUAACCCAAGUCUGCUGCCGUCCAUUUACGGCUCAUUAGAACAUAAGGUCCACCCCCAUCUCAGGAUCUCCACCCACAGCAUGAAAAGUACCUUCGCAAAGGUGCACCAUGGAGCUUUUCCAGUCUGUGGCAUCACAAGGGGACACGUGGUGGAAGCAGGCUGCUACGUUCCCAAACAGGAUCGGUUGCCACACACACUACAGCCCCCAGAAUGCCUCACAGCACAACCAGCUGUAGGUGUUUAAGCCAUUUGAUUACAGCAGGGCUCAAAAGCCAAAGCACCUGGCGGGCAAAGAGAACGACGGGAGGAGAGCGCCGAGCUGGAAGGGCCAGACCGGUGCAUUGGAGCACCCAAUGAUCUUUGGAGACGGAAGCCAGGAGAAGGACUUGUGAGGAGGGAAAAGCAAACUUUAUGUUAAUGUUUUUGAAGCUGCCAAAUGACUGAAGGCCUUAUUUAUGUUUGCCUGUUUAUUUAACGACAAUAAACCUUCUAUUUGC